GGAGGAGUGGCCGAGAGGCCGAAGGCGGCGGUCUUGAAAACCGUUGAUGCGCAAGCGUCCGUGGGUUCGAAUCCUACCUCCUCCGCCA
RNAcentral lists this transfer RNA (88 nucleotides) under Planctomycetota bacterium. RNAcentral describes it as "tRNA-Ser". It matches the Rfam family "tRNA". From Rfam's summary of the family: Transfer RNA (tRNA) molecules are approximately 80 nucleotides in length. Their secondary structure includes four short double-helical elements and three loops (D, anti-codon, and T loops). RNAcentral also lists the same sequence under 4 other names. The record is from RNAcentral. Lineage: Bacteria; Pseudomonadati; Planctomycetota.